AGGGCUGUUCCUGAAACAGAGCCCCCAGAGCCCCCAGUUUUACCUUUCGGUUCUUCCCGACAGCCUGUCUUCCCAAAAUACAGCCCAGAACUCGUGGUAACUCAGAGAACAUCAAACACCCUACACCCUGGCCUGCCAUUUAAAGCAGUAUCUUUAGAGGAAGAAAAAAGACAAAGCACAGAAGAUGUUAACUUUGUAUAAGGUAAUGAAUUAAAAAAUCUUAAAUGUUUGCUGAGAAAUAAGUUGAACAAUGAGGAAAGUAAAACAUGGUUUCGAGAAAACUAGAAGUCUCCUGAUCGACUACUGAUGCCAUGAGAGAAAGUUUGUAAGCCAUUAUUUGUCAUGGCCUUCUCUCUAGGCUUUCUCCUAAUUAAAUUUUCAUCAUAUCUUGUGAUUUUUUUUUUAGUCUGAGUAUUCCUAUUUCCUAAUAAAAUUUUAACUAUGGAAAAAGCCUAAAAUCUCUACGAUGAUUAAGAAAGGGACAUAAUUCUAUCAGAGAGUACAAUUCAGUUCAGUUCAG
RNAcentral lists this long non-coding RNA (520 nucleotides) under Capra hircus (goat). RNAcentral describes it as "lncRNA (ENSCHIG00010001754.1)". The record is from RNAcentral. Lineage: Eukaryota; Metazoa; Chordata; Mammalia; Artiodactyla; Bovidae.